AGAGACAAGGAGUAAAAUGCCUGAGCUCAAGUGACAACAAGCAACCCCAGACUAGAGACAGGAUCCUUCUCCCCACUUCGAGCAGAUCCCAGCAUGAAUCCUGCAGUAUGGUGAUGGCAAAAGUCAGUGCAGGACCACUGGGACUCCUGGAGCUUCUCACAUCUCUGAGAGCACCAGCAGCAGAAAACAUCGCCCAUUUCAUCUGUUUCUUCAGUCCCCAGAUAGCAGAUGACUGGUAGGAAGAUGAGGCAAGUUUGCGGUCCAUUGUCAUGGAUAGUGGAGACAACACUGGGCCAGAAGUGGUAAGACCUGAAUCCAAGACUCAGCUCUGCCACUUGCUAAAUGGGACUUUGAAUAAACCAUUUCUCUGCACUUAAGUUCCUUACCAACAAAACGAGGGAAGUGGCCUACAUGCCUAGAUAUCAACAUUUCAUGUCACGUAGAGAUCUAGCAUCACAAGAAUCCAAGUCAUCCUCUGUUGCCUUUAAGAUUUCAGCAUGGUGAAGGAAAAGUAGCAGAAGACUGAAUGCAUACUCAGUUUUCAAGCUCUGGAUUUAAUCUUUCCAUAGCUGGAAUUGCCUCCUCCUCAAAAGCCUUAUUUGUUCAUUUAAUUGGGGCAACAUGAAAUAAUGAUGUAUCAUUGACAGAGAACAGGGGGCUUAGGUUCUCAUCUUGGUCCUAGUGAUUACUCUAUGCAUAACCUCAACUUCUUUAUCUGUACAUUGGGAACAAUAAUUCUUACUCCACUUGUUGUGUUGAAACUGAAUUAUAUAAUUCAUAAAUUAAAACACCAAAUUCUGAUAAAUGCUAAAUGCCAUUUUCUUAUCUUGUUCUUUCCUAUAAUGCCCAUUUUGAUAUAAACCAGGCUCCCUAGUCAGUCUUGCAGAAGGUAUUCUCAAGAAGAACUUAUAUCUUUGGUUUAUCAACAAAUUUGCAAAGCUGUGUUGAUAAUCUAGAGCUGAGUCUUUUAACAAGUUUUAACAAUAUCUCAAUUACUAUGAUGUAGGUCUCUUAAUAAAAUGUAAAUGUAAAUGUGACAGAAGUCAACAUUAGGACUUUUAGGAAGGGAUAUAGACACUCAACAUUCCUCUUUGUUCAGGAGGGUGACAUAGCACAGCUUGCCACCUGUGAGCUAACCUUAUCUAGAACACAGCAUAGGAACUACUGCUUGACUAGAAAACUAAUUUAUAAAGCUUAAGGAACUUAAGGGACUUUCAGGGACUAAUUUACCAUCAUAAAAUAUCUAUCUCUACGAAGAAAGAAGAGAGUUUUAAGUACUUGAAAAUAAAAAUCUUAUAUUU
Molecule: long non-coding RNA, 1301 nt
Organism: Homo sapiens (human)
Lineage: Eukaryota; Metazoa; Chordata; Mammalia; Primates; Hominidae
Product: long intergenic non-protein coding RNA 2207
Source: Ensembl